Long non-coding RNA from Haliotis rubra (blacklip abalone), 290 nucleotides. RefSeq lists it as uncharacterized. The transcript has 3 exons. NCBI's taxonomy places the organism in Eukaryota, Metazoa, Mollusca, Gastropoda, Lepetellida, Haliotidae. The record is from RefSeq and is a predicted model, not a curated record.
AGGACUGAAGUCCACAAAAUUCUCAAGAGUCAAACUGCCAAACAUGGUCACUCAUCCAAGGACUCUCCCUGCUCAACAUUGCUCAACUUCAACUGCUUUGUGACCUGAGCUCUAUGCACAGGACCACACACCACCAUUAAACUGGAUGUUUUCUGACAAGAAGUCAUGGUGAGAUGGGGGUGAUGCCAGAAAUUGGCAAGGCUGUUGAAGAGAUGGACUGGAGCCUCCCAACAGAUGUUCAAGCAGAAGCUAUCCCUAUGGUAUUGGGAGGAGGAGAUGUGUUGAUGGUA